Molecule: long non-coding RNA, 3716 nt
Filed under: Gossypium raimondii (Peruvian cotton)
Lineage: Eukaryota; Viridiplantae; Streptophyta; Magnoliopsida; Malvales; Malvaceae
Description: long non-coding RNA (GRAI_LNC001532)
Source: RNAcentral
UCAAUGCUUCUGCUCAGAAUGAUAUAUCUCCUUGUCUUGAUCCAGCGCAAGGAGGAAUGGGAUCAUUGUCUGAGCAGUGCGAUCAAAGUCAUCUUUUUCCUUCUUCUGGUGGUUCUAUUCUUGAUGUAUACAAUGAUGAUUGGUCUCCUAUUGCGUGUUUGGACACGUAUUCUUCGGAAGAUUUCAAGGAUUCAAAGCUGUCCAGUAUGUUGCCUGAUAUUAGAGAUUUUCCACGAUCUGAAUUGCAAGAAACCAUGACAGAAGAGGAGACUCGUCUUGGUGAGAUUCAUGAAUUGGUAAAACCUGAAAAGAUUGAUGAAGAUGAGAAUUCCAGUGAAUACUUUUCAGCCACUGAUACACACCAGAGUAUAUUGGUUUCAUUUUCAAGCCGGUGUGUGCUGAAAGGAACUGUAUGCGAACGUGCGAGGCUCUUGCGAAUAAAGUUUUACGGUUCUUUUGAUAAACCACUGGGAAGAUAUCUUCAUGAUGAUCUGUUUGAUCAAGUAAGUCAAUCCGAUUUUGCUUCAUCCGAAAUUACUGGUUCUAUGUUUCACUUAUUUAAUUUAAUUGUUCUUUGCAGGCAUCAUGUUGCAGGUCAUGUAAUGAACCAGCUGAAGCCCAUGUAAUAUGUUAUACCCACCAACAAGGAAAUCUCACAAUCAAUGUAAGACGUCUUUCCUCUCUUAAGUUGCCUGGUGAACGAGAUGGGAAGAUAUGGAUGUGGCACCGGUGCCUAAAGUGCGUUCAUAUAAAUGGGGUUCCUCCAGCAACUCAUAGAGUAGUUAUGUCUGAUGCUGCAUGGGGACUUUCUUUUGGAAAGUUUUUGGAGCUUAGUUUUUCAAAUCAUGCGACUGCUAAUCGUGUUGCAACAUGUGGUCAUUCAUUGCAGAGGGACUGCCUUAGGUUCUAUGGGUAAAUUUUGAAAAACUUUGAAUAUUUAACCAUUUUUUACUGUUAAGUAUGAUGUUGGUAGUUAUGAGGAGUAUCUUUUCCUAGAUUUGGCAACAUGGUUGCAUUCUUCCGCUAUUCUCCAAUCGAUAUUCUAUCGGUACAUUUGCCCCCAUCAACACUUGAAUUUAGUGGAAACAUUCAGCAGGAAUGGACUAGAAAAGAGGCAGCCGAGGUUUGUUAUGUAUUUUCCCUCUUGUUCUUAUACCUUUGGAAUCAGCUGAUUAUGAAAUGACUGACUAUUCUUUCUCCUGUAGCUAAUGGUCAAAAUGGAAAUGUCAUAUGUGGAGGUAUCUGAUGUACUCGACAGCAUUGAACAGAAGAGUAAUUCUGCUGGCUGUCAAUCAUCAAAUGCUAGUGAUUUAUCAGAUCACAUCGUGGAAUUGAGAGAACAGAUUCAAAAGGAGAGAGAUGAUUACAAUGUAAGAACAACCACAUACUAGUUACCCAUGUGACCCUGAAUAUUACUUUGUAGCAUGUAUUUGAUAUUUUUUAUGUAUUUUAUCUUUGGUCAGUGCUGUUGAAAGGUGAAUUUUACCAUUUGUUGACCUCUUUUUUCUGGUUUAGGGUUUGCUACAACCAGUUGUUAUGGAAUCUUCACAACUGGGUCCAACAGCUGUAGACAUCCUAGAGCUGAAUCGCUUAAGGCGUUCACUUCUAAUUAGUUUGUAUGUUUGGGAUCAGCAACUUCAUUCAUUGGAGUCCCAUAUUAAGAAAGGUUCUGCUGUCAAAGUUAAAGCAGAUCAUUCCAAUGAUGGUAAACUUGGUGUUUGCGAGCAAAAUGUCUACAGAUCCCCAGAUUCACAGGAGCCUCCUAAGAAUGACAUACAGUCAGAGAAUAACAAUAUUCUAUCAAACUUGGAAUCUGUUGUGCCAAAAGAAUCUGACUUGGUGUCGUAUAAUAAGAUAGACGAGGAUGUGCAGUCAGAUGGAAACAUCACGUCUCCUGCAUCUGCUUUAUCUGAACGAAUAGAUUCUGCUUGGACAGGUACUGAUCUACUUACCUUGAAAGUUCAAACCACAGAAGCAUUUCAAGAAGAUGAGCUCCCAGCUGGUUUGAUCAGGCAAAUGAAUAAAAUCAGCGAUCUUCGUUUGAGGAAUGUAGCAUCUCCAAGGAGGCUUCACUCUUUUGAUUCUGCAUUGAGAUUCCAAGAAAGAAUUAAAAAAGGAUUGCACCCCUCUUCAAGUCCUUUGUCAGUGCUUAGAUCUUUCCAUGCUUCUGGAGAUUACAGAAGUAUGGUUCGAGAUCCUGUUUCUAAUGUAACAGGGACUUACUCUCAUGCAUUGCCACUAGAGGCACAAAAGUUGAAUUUGUUACUCAGUUCCACACCCACUAUGAUCACCUCUGCAUCUCAUGUGGCUGAAGGGACUCGGCUGCUUCUUUCGCAGAGGGGUCAUAGUGAUAUUGUUAUUGCUGUUUAUGACAAUGAUCCUGCAAGUAUAAUAUCAUAUGCUCUUAGUUCCAAAGAGUAUGAUGAGUGGGUUACUGGUAAAUCCAGUGAAAUUGGAGGAGGCUGGAGUGUUAGUGAAAAGAGCAAAGAAGAUUCUGCUGCUUCCAGCUUUUCGCCUUGGCAGUCAUUUGGCUCUCUUGACCUGGAUUAUAUACGGUAUGGAAGUUUUAGCUCUGAAGAUGCCUCAUCAUCUGUGGGUUCCACAUUUGCUGAUACAAAAAGGUCUCCACAUUUAACAGUUUCUUUUGGAGAUGAUUCUGCUGCUGCUGGUGGCAAAGUGAAGUUUUCAGUGACUUGUUAUUUUGCAAAACAAUUUGAUUCUCUUAGAAGAAAAUGUUGCCCCAGUGAAGUGGAUUUUCUGCGUUCCUUGAGCCGCUGUAAGAAAUGGAGCGCACAAGGGGGAAAGAGCAACGUGUAUUUUGCCAAAACAUUUGAUGAGAGAUUCAUUAUAAAACAAGUCCAAAAGACGGAGUUAGAAUCAUUUGAUGAAUUUGCUCUGGAAUACUUCAAGUAUUUGACAGAUUCUGUUAGUUCAGGAAGCCCUACUUGCCUUGUGAAAAUUCUUGGCAUUUAUCAGGUUUGUCCUCACACUUUACCUUUUAAAAGCACAGUUUUUGGGCAUCUAGUUGAGUUGUGGAGGGUCAUAUAUAUAGAGCCUUGUUAUAAUUCUUUGUGGUUUUCUUGUUGACAGGUCUCUGUAAAACACCUGAAAGGUGGCAAAGAAACAAAAAUGGAUCUUAUAGUGAUGGAGAACCUCUUUUUCAGGAGAAGUAUCUCAACAGUUUAUGAUCUUAAGGGUUCCAUAAGAUCACGAUACAAUCCGGAUACAUCAGGGACAAACAAAGUACUGUUAGAUAUGAAUCUGUUGGAAACGCUGCGAACAGAGCCUAUUUUUCUCGGAAGCAAGGCAAAGAGAAACCUCGAGAGAGCUAUUUGGAAUGAUACAUCUUUUCUGGCAGUAAGUUGCUUUUUCCCAUGAGAACUUGUCAAAAAUUGUUUGUAGUCUUUCAAAGUCUUACUGGUAUGCUGGAGUAAUAACAAGAUUUGAAUGUGACACUGUAUCUAAAAUAUUCGCAGUUUUCAGCAAGUUCUUCCACUGAUUUAAGAUUAUUAAGUAAUAAACAUUUGCUGUGUAUUUUCAGUCGGUCGAUGUCAUGGACUAUUCAUUACUCGUUGGGGUGGAUGAGGAGCGCAAAGAGCUGGUUUUGGGAAUUAUCGAUUUCAUGAGACAAUAUACUUGGGACAAGCACUUGGAGACAUGGGUUAAGGCAUCAGGGAUACUAGGUGGCCCGAAGAAUGCAUCCCCAACAAUAAUUU